UACAGAGGUCUCAAGCGUUGUUCGGAUUCAUUGGGCGUAAAGGGUGCGUAGGCGGCGCGGUAAGUCGGGUGUGAAAUCUCGGAGCUUAACUCCGAAACUGCAUUCGAUACUGCCGUGCUUGAGGACUGGAGAGGAGACUGGAAUUUACGGUGUAGCAGUGAAAUGCGUAGAUAUCGUAAGGAAGACCAGCGGCGAAGGCGGAUCUCUGGACAGUUACUGACACUGAGGCACGAAGGCCAGGGGAGCAAACGGG
This 253-nucleotide ribosomal RNA is filed under the name uncultured bacterium. Its description in RNAcentral is "partial 16S ribosomal RNA". It matches the Rfam family "Bacterial small subunit ribosomal RNA", at positions 524 to 776 of the family's 1533-position model. The record is from RNAcentral.